Molecule: long non-coding RNA, 2237 nt
Filed under: Homo sapiens (human)
Lineage: Eukaryota; Metazoa; Chordata; Mammalia; Primates; Hominidae
Description: non-protein coding lnc-DCTD-65:17
Source: RNAcentral
AGCCUCCUCCAAGGCGGCGGACCAGGCCGGGCCGGAGUUUUCGGGGUUCAGCCCGCGAGCGGGAGGACCGGGGAGGCGAGGGAGGAGGAAGGCGAGAAGGGCCAGAUCGCGGGAGAGCCCAAUCACGGGGCGAGCUGGACCUGGCUGUGAUCAUUUAUAAUCCUUGACUCCUCCGCUCCGCCACUUGUCAAGAUGACAGGGGUCAUCCGUGAAUAACACUUCACGCUGAUGAAUGGCUCUUGCCGGCUUUCGGCUCUGAUGAGGGGUCUGCCCGCCGCCGAUUGAAAACACUAAUGAACUUACUGCGCCAUUUGAAAUUCACACGCACCAACAAAAUGGGGGGUGGGCAUUUCAGGUCAGCUGAGUCACCCGAGGAGGUGGCAGUGCAAGACACUGCCGGGAAGACGGAUUCCGAGGCAGAAGGGUGUAAUUAAGGAUUUCCACCCCCGGUAGGCGGCCCGUCCUUUGCAGAGCCUCUGAAAAUGACCCGCGCCUUCCUUUCCACAGUGUUCUUUCGUCCGAGACCGAAAAGCGCAAAUGACCUUUGGACAGGGAAGGGAGGCAGUAAACACUCAGACUUCCUUACCAGCCCCUGGUGGGCACUGCAGCAGAACAAUUGUCUGCCCCCCAGGUUCAAGCACCUAGGCCUCCGCCCCGCAUCACCUGGCCAGGGGCGGACCCGGGAGUCCUCCGAAGGCUCCACUCCCCACUUUUACUACUCUUCUUUCCUCUCCAUUCUCCCCUCAGAUUAGCGGCCGGACACUGUCCCUGCCUCGAUUUUGUUUGCUGUGGGAGGGAAAAAAAAAGUUUGCUGCUCCUCCCAAGACACUGGCCACUUUCUACUCACUGAAGUUCCCACCGCAGCGCUGGCUCCCGGCUCCCUAGCUCCCGCCCCCUGUCUGCAGGAAAGCCCUCCCCCGGAGCUUCCGAAACUGCUGGAGGUUCCAGAGUUUUGUAGCUCCGAAUGGGCGACCUGAGCCGAACCGCUCUCUGGCUGGGUGGUCGGCGGGAUCCUUCAGGCUCCUUUCGGGUCCGGGACGGGGCGGCGGCAGAGGUGGGGCGUGCGUGCUUGGGGCUGCCGAGUGAGUGCGGCUCCCUGGUGCGCGCCCGAGCAUCUCCCCGCCCUCUCCUGGGACCAGCAGUCUGCCCGUGGAGGGCUAGGAGCCCGCGACCAGGCCUGCCCCGGCCGUCGCCAACCUGUCCUUGGAAGCGUGGCGGAGACUGGUGCGCUCUCAGCCUCGUCGCGCCAGCCGCCUCGCGCCACCCUCCACUUUCAGCUUCAGAGCAGAGGAUUCCGCCGACCUCCACCUGUACCUGUACUCGGCCGUUAGGAAAUCCACUUGCAUUUUUAACUACCGUGCAGAACCAGAAACAGAUCGAGCACUGGGAGAACAAGGACGACGCCUCCUAGGAAAGCCUGAACCUUUAUGUUAGUUUAUCCAAAGUUUGGGCUAGAAGUGAGGAGAAUCCCUAAACUCGAGGUGGUGUGCCCAGACCCACAGCCCGUGUUCCCGAAGUUGCUAAGUGCCCGAGCGCAGCGCGUUAAGUAGAGAAGUCUUGGUAGUAAGCGAACCCGACCCGGCUCUCGGGGCGCUAGUGACGGAAAGCAGCACGCAUAUCUUUGCGGGAAGAAUCUAGAGUCGCCCUGGGAUAGAUCCAUCUCCUUCUGCCACUGAAUUUCACACUUGAAAAAGAUAAGGUCAUGGGGGCGGAUGAAUGAUAUCCCUCACUCAUUUAGCCAUUCUUAUUAUUAUAUAAAAAAAAGGCUUGUCAAUUAUGAAGGUGUGUCCCAGAUAUUACAUGAAGAUCAUGCAAACUACUUGAAAUUUGAAUCCGGACAUGAUCGUAAGGAAACUCUUUCAUAAAGCACUUUUGUGGCCUAGUUCCCACACACACACAAAAGUAUUAGGUCUUUAAAACUUUUCCAAGUAGUAAGUGAGACUCCCUCUUACUGUCUACGAAUACACAAUAAAGAGAUGAGACACUGCCCCAAUCCUAAAGAGGCCAGAACUGAAGUGCUACAUUGUGUGAGUUAGGGGAUGCUUCUUUUUUCCAGCUCUUUUUUCUAGAAUCCUCAUUACAGCUAACGCUGGUAAUAAAGGUAGGAAAACAAUAGAACUCAUAAAACUUAGAAAUGGUAAUAAAUCUUGGCUCCUGUCUCUAGCCCAGUUCCUUCUUACAUGAGAUUCAAAGUUUUUCAGUAUGCAAUGCUGAACGUUCACACUAUGGUUGCAAAA